This 700-nucleotide ribosomal RNA is filed under the name Stenotrophomonas sp. RNAcentral's name for it is "bacterial SSU rRNA". It matches the Rfam family "Bacterial small subunit ribosomal RNA", at positions 22 to 709 of the family's 1533-position model. Lineage: Bacteria; Pseudomonadati; Pseudomonadota; Gammaproteobacteria; Lysobacterales; Lysobacteraceae. The record is from RNAcentral.
GCUCAGAGUGAACGCUGGCGGUAGGCCUAACACAUGCAAGUCGAACGGCAGCACAGUAAGAGCUUGCUCUUAUGGGUGGCGAGUGGCGGACGGGUGAGGAAUACAUCGGAAUCUACCUUUUCGUGGGGGAUAACGUAGGGAAACUUACGCUAAUACCGCAUACGACCUUCGGGUGAAAGCAGGGGACCUUCGGGCCUUGCGCGGAUAGAUGAGCCGAUGUCGGAUUAGCUAGUUGGCGGGGUAAAGGCCCACCAAGGCGACGAUCCGUAGCUGGUCUGAGAGGAUGAUCAGCCACACUGGAACUGAGACACGGUCCAGACUCCUACGGGAGGCAGCAGUGGGGAAUAUUGGACAAUGGGCGCAAGCCUGAUCCAGCCAUACCGCGUGGGUGAAGAAGGCCUUCGGGUUGUAAAGCCCUUUUGUUGGGAAAGAAAAGCAGUCGAUUAAUACUCGGUUGUUCUGACGGUACCCAAAGAAUAAGCACCGGCUAACUUCGUGCCAGCAGCCGCGGUAAUACGAAGGGUGCAAGCGUUACUCGGAAUUACUGGGCGUAAAGCGUGCGUAGGUGGUUGUUUAAGUCUGUUGUGAAAGCCCUGGGCUCAACCUGGGAAUUGCAGUGGAUACUGGACGACUAGAGUGUGGUAGAGGGUAGUGGAAUUCCCGGUGUAGCAGUGAAAUGCGUAGAGAUCGGGAGGAACAU